RNAcentral lists this ribosomal RNA (384 nucleotides) under Ochromonas sp. CCMP1393. RNAcentral describes it as "partial Bacterial large subunit ribosomal RNA". It matches the Rfam family "Bacterial large subunit ribosomal RNA", at positions 661 to 1042 of the family's 2925-position model. The record is from RNAcentral. Lineage: Eukaryota; Chrysophyceae; Chromulinales; Chromulinaceae.
CGUAGGCGUAGCGAAAGCGAGUCUGAAUAGGGCGGAUAGCUAGUGGGGGUAGACGCGAAACCUGGUGAUCUACCCAUGGGCAGGUUGAAGUAUCGAUAGUCUCGAUAUGGAGGACCGAACCGGUAAACGUUGAAAAGUUUUCGGAUGACCUGUGGGUAGGGGUGAAAGGCCAAUCAAACUCCGUGAUAGCUGGUUCUCCCCGAAAUGCAUUUAGGUGCAGCGUUGCGUGGUUCUUGUUGGAGGUAGAGCACUGGAUGGUCUAGGGGGCUUAUCGGCUUACCGAAAUCAGCCAAACUCCGAAUGCCGGUAAGUGAGAGCGCAGCAGUGAGACCGUGGGGGAUAAGCUUCAUGGUCGAGAGGGAAACAGCCCAGAACACCGACUAA